This 2336-nucleotide small RNA is filed under the name Pan troglodytes (chimpanzee). RNAcentral describes it as "retained intron". The record is from RNAcentral. Lineage: Eukaryota; Metazoa; Chordata; Mammalia; Primates; Hominidae.
CAGGCUUACAUCCAAAUACAGAUUUACCCCAGAAGAGAAUGAAACAAUGUUCAGAACCCCUGAAAACUGUGUUCAAGGAGGUCAUCUGGAUUUUUUUGAGACAGGGGUCUUACUCUUGUUGCCCAGGCUGGAAUGCAAUGGUGCAGUCUUGGCUCACUACAGCCUCUACCGCUCCUGCUCAAGUAAUCCUUCCACCUCAGCCCCCUGAGUAGCUGGGACUACAAGCACACGCCACCAUGCCAGGCUAAUUUUUGUAUUUUUUGUAGAGACUGUGUUUCACCGUAUUGCCCAGGCUGGUCUUGAACUCUUGGACUCAAGCAAUCCACCUGCCUCAGCCUCCCAAAGUGCUCACAGGCAUGAGGCAACGUACCCAGCCUCAUUUGAUACUUUUAAAAUACAUUUUUAAUAUUUUUUUCCUCCAAGAUGCCUUCCCCAUUGUGUAAGUUUCAGGUCUUACAAACCUGGAUCCACCCCAGCAGUCUGAGUUGCAUAUAUACAUACCUCCUAUUUACAUGUCCCUCCUCCCACUAUUAUGUCACCUUUCUAAACACCGCAAUUGGGAGAUGAGACAAUGCGCAGGAACCAAGAACUGUUCUGGUGAAGAGGACCCAGGGGCAGUGAGAGGGGGCUAGGGACAAAAGGUGAAUGGGGAGCUGGUUCAGGUUAGAAGAAUGGGUGCAUGUGAGGGGCAUUUGGAGAAUGCGAGCUGGGGGAGGGAGAGUGGCUGAGCCUGUAGGCACGGUAGACACAUGUAGUAAUGACGGGGAUGUGUUAUGCCCCACACCAGGUGUUGUCCUACAUCAAUGGGGUCACAACAAGCAAACCUGGAGUAUCCUUGGUCUACUCCAUGCCCUCCCGGAACCUGUCCCUGCGGCUGGAGGGUCUCCAGGAGAAAGACUCUGGCCCCUACAGCUGCUCCGUGAAUGUGCAAGACAAACAAGGCAAAUCUAGGGGCCACAGCAUCAAAACCUUAGAACUCAAUGUACUGGGUGAGUGAGAAGCAGAUUUCCGGAUCCCUCCCCACCUGCACUGGGAGGUCUGGUGAGUCUCUCUCCUAAAUGACAAAAGUUGGAGGAGGAACAAAUGAAGCGACAGAAGGGUGCAGGACAGAGGGAGAGGAUCUGUGGGUCUCCUGGGUGUGGUUUUAAUCUGUCUCCCCCUGCCCAGUUCCUCCAGCUCCUCCAUCCUGCCGUCUCCAGGGUGUGCCCCGUGUGGGGGCAAACGUGACCCUGAGCUGCCAGUCUCCAAGGAGUAAGCCCGCUGUCCAAUACCAGUGGGAUCGGCAGCUUCCAUCCUUCCAGACUUUCUUUGCACCAGCAUUAGAUGUCAUCCGUGGGUCUUUAAGCCUCACCAACCUUUCAUCUUCCAUGGCUGGAGUCUAUGUCUGCAAGGCCCACAAUGAGGUGGGCACUGCCCAAUGUAAUGUGACGCUGGAAGUGAGCACAGGGCCUGGAGCUGCAGUGGUUGCUGGAGCUGUUGUGGGUACCCUGGUUGGACUGGGGUUGCUGGCUGGGCUGGUCCUCUUGUACCACCGCCGGGGCAAGGCCCUGGAGGAGCCAGCCAAUGAUAUCAAGGAGGAUGCCAUUGCUCCCCGGACCCUGCCCUGGCCCAAGAGCUCAGACACAAUCUCCAAGAAUGGGACCCUUUCCUCUGUCACCUCCGCACGAGCCCUCCGGCCACCCCAUGGCCCUCCCAGGCCUGGUGCAUUGACCCCCACGCCCAGUCUCUCCAGCCAGGCCCUGCCCUCACCAAGACUGCCCACGACAGACGGGGCCCACCCUCAACCAAUAUCCCCCAUCCCUGGUGGGGUUUCUUCCUCUGGCUUGAGCCGCAUGGGUGCUGUGCCUGUGAUGGUGCCUGCCCAGAGUCAAGCUGGCUCUCUGGUGUGAUGACCCCACCACUCACUGGCUAAAGGAUUUGGGGUCUCUCCUUCCUAUAGGGGUCACCUCUAGCACAGAGGCCUGAGUCAUGGGAAAGAGUCACACUCCUGACCCUUAGUACUCUGCCCCCACCUCUCUUUACUGUGGGAAAACCAUCUCAGUAAGACCUAAGUGUCCAGGAGAUAGAAGGAGAAGAGGAAGUGGAUCUGGAAUUGGGAGGAGCCUCCACCCACCCCUGACUCCUCCUUAUGAAGCCAGCUGCUGAAAUUAGCUACUCACCAAGAGUGAGGGGCAGAGACUUCCAGUCACUGAGUCUCCCAGGCCCCCUUGAUCUGUACCCCACCCCUAUCUAACACCACCCUUGGCUCCCACUCCAGCUCCCUGUAUUGAUAUAACCUGUCAGGCUGGCUUGGUUAGGUUUUACUGGGGCAGAGGGUAGGGAAUCUCUUUUUAAAA